Molecule: long non-coding RNA, 210 nt
Organism: Telopea speciosissima
Lineage: Eukaryota; Viridiplantae; Streptophyta; Magnoliopsida; Proteales; Proteaceae
Exons: 4
Source: RefSeq, a predicted model, not a curated record
AGUUGGGAGAUCCUUGUGGCUCACUUAUUCAACUUAAGCUUUCCAACAACAACUUCUCAGGUUCAAUUCCAACUUCCUUCCCCUCCUGUACUUGGCUACAAGUGCUUGACUUGUCCAAUAACAAUCUAUCAGGUCCCUUUCCUGAUUCUUUCCUCCAAAACCUUAGCACAUUUGACAGCUUGUAGUUGAGCAAUAACUUCAUAUCUGGGA